Molecule: ribosomal RNA, 907 nt
Filed under: Penicillium sinaicum
Lineage: Eukaryota; Fungi; Ascomycota; Eurotiomycetes; Eurotiales; Aspergillaceae
Description: LSU rRNA
Rfam family: Eukaryotic large subunit ribosomal RNA
Source: RNAcentral
GCAUAUCAAUAAGCGGAGGAAAAGAAACCAACAGGGAUUGCCCCAGUAACGGCGAGUGAAGCGGCAAGAGCUCAAAUUUGAAAGCUGGCUCCUUCGGGGUCCGCAUUGUAAUUUGCAGAGGAUGCUUCGGGAGCGGUCCCCAUCUAAGUGCCCUGGAACGGGACGUCAUAGAGGGUGAGAAUCCCGUAUGGGAUGGGGUGUCCGCGCCCGUGUGAAGCUCCUUCGACGAGUCGAGUUGUUUGGGAAUGCAGCUCUAAAUGGGUGGUAAAUUUCAUCUAAAGCUAAAUAUUGGCCGGAGACCGAUAGCGCACAAGUAGAGUGAUCGAAAGAUGAAAAGCACUUUGAAAAGAGAGUUAAAAAGCACGUGAAAUUGUUGAAAGGGAAGCGCUUGCGACCAGACUCGCUCGCGGGGUUCAGCCGGCAUUCGUGCCGGUGUACUUCCCCGCGGGCGGGCCAGCGUCGGUUUGGGCGGUCGGUCAAAGGCCCUCGGAAGGUAACGCCCCUCGGGGCGUCUUAUAGCCGAGGGUGCAAUGCGACCUGCCCAGACCGAGGAACGCGCUUCGGCUCGGACGCUGGCAUAAUGGUCGUAAACGACCCGUCUUGAAACACGGACCAAGGAGUCUAACAUCUACGCGAGUGUUCGGGUGUCAAACCCGUGCGCGAAGUGAAAGCGAACGGAGGUGGGAACCCUCACGGGUGCACCAUCGACCGAUCCUGAAGUCUUCGGAUGGAUUUGAGUAAGAGCGUAGCUGUUGGGACCCGAAAGAUGGUGAACUAUGCCUGAAUAGGGCGAAGCCAGAGGAAACUCUGGUGGAGGCUCGUAGCGGUUCUGACGUGCAAAUCGAUCGUCGAAUUUGGGUAUAGGGGGCGAAAGACUAAUCGAACCAUCUGGUAGCUGGUUCCUGCG